GACGAACGCUGGCGGCGUGCUUAACACAUGCAAGUCGAACGGAAAGGCCCUGCUUUUGUGGGGUGCUCGAGUGGCGAACGGGUGAGUAACACGUGAGUAACCUGCCCUUGACUUUGGGAUAACUUCAGGAAACUGGGGCUAAUACCGGAUAGGAGCUCCUGCUGCACGGUGGGGGUUGGAAAGUUUCGGCGGUUGGGGAUGGACUCGCGGCUUAUCAGCUUGUUGGCGGGGUAGUGGCUUACCAAGGCUUUGACGGGUAGCCGGCCUGAGAGGGUGACCGGCCACAUUGGGACUGAGAUACGGCCCAGACUCCUACGGGAGGCAGCAGUGGGGAAUAUUGCACAAUGGGCGGAAGCCUGAUGCAGCAACGCCGCGUGCGGGAUGACGGCCUUCGGGUUGUAAACCGCUUUCGCCUGUGACGAAGCGUGAGUGACGGUAAUGGGUAAAGAAGCACCGGCUAACUACGUG
This 468-nucleotide ribosomal RNA is filed under the name uncultured bacterium. Its description in RNAcentral is "partial 16S ribosomal RNA". It matches the Rfam family "Bacterial small subunit ribosomal RNA", at positions 28 to 507 of the family's 1533-position model. The record is from RNAcentral.